This is a non-coding RNA of Cyanistes caeruleus (blue tit), 1006 nucleotides long. The record is from RefSeq and is a predicted model, not a curated record. Lineage: Eukaryota; Metazoa; Chordata; Aves; Passeriformes; Paridae.
AUAACACAUCACAUGCAGCGUUACGCAGUUUGGUUUGGAGGUUCCAUGCUGGCUUCAACACCAGAGUUUUUCCAAGUGUGUCACACCAAGAAGGACUAUGAAGAGUAUGGCCCUAGUAUUUGUCGUCAUAAUCCUGUUUUUGGAGUCAUGUCAUAACGUUCAUCCAGUGGAAAUAAGAUCUCUGAAACAAUGCUGGUGAAGAAACUCAUGAAGUGCAGAGGAAGGCAGCAGAUACUGUAAAUACUGAAGCAAGAUGUGGUUAACUCUGAGGCAUUUGGAUCACCAUUGUGCACUAAAGCACAGCUUACAGCCCUAAGUCAUUUCAGUACGAGCCAUUUCUCUGCUGACUACUCAGAGUCUUUCCUUCUUUCUUCCUAAAUGUGAGGUUAUUGAAAAUAGGUACGUCUCGGUUUAGGAGGUUGUGCAAAUACUACUGAAACUGCAUCUAGAAGAAUAAGGCAGUGUUUUACUGCUUGUGGAAAGAUCUAAACCUUUCCCACUUGUGCCCUGAGUUUGCAAUCAAACCUUUAGCAAUGGAGCACUAAAUACCACAUUGCCUUUAGGGGAGUUGGAGUGGAUACAGGUACCUACCCAAAUGGAACAGAUUGCAGGAUUGGGACAGUACUUUGUAAAUGUAGGUUUUCAUAUAAUUUUGUAUUUUAUGAUGUUGGUAGGGUGAAUUGAUGACUAGUUCUAAGCACGAACAGCUGUCAAUGUCAUGGAGUGGUGUUAUGCAUUUCCAGGUGUGAGGCGUGUAUUGGAGUAGUGCUGGUAUAUUUUUGGGGGAAAAACAAAAAGCCAUGUAUGAUAGAAACUGAUCUGUUCAUGUUUGGAUGAUACAAGUGAUUUACAGUAUUGUGCAAAGUUUAUUAUAGCCACUGUUCUUUUGUUUUGAAUUUUCUGAAAAUGUUUUUUAGGAGAUGAUGUUUUGUUUUGCUGUUGGUGAGUGAUGGAUGACACACGGGCCUUGCACCAGUGAAAUAAAAGCUGUUAACAUCUUUAUGAA